This 906-nucleotide long non-coding RNA is filed under the name Homo sapiens (human). Its description in RNAcentral is "HSALNT0135405". Lineage: Eukaryota; Metazoa; Chordata; Mammalia; Primates; Hominidae. The record is from RNAcentral.
GUGCACGCACCCUGGGGAUUCAGUGGAAGAGGAGCAAUCUGAAUCCAGCAGUGCUGAGAAAACCCAAGAGCUACAUGGCCAGCAUUUCCCAUCAGAGAGCCAACAGGGCCCCUGGUUUUGCCUUCCCGCCCACCAGCCCUGGUUAAUGGAGCUUUUGUUCUGCCUGAUGCUGCCUUGCUAAUCAGGGUGUAUCAUAUGGGAGCUAUCAGGAGAGCGGGGCCUGCUUCACAAAGGAACACAGGUUGCCUUUAGAGUUGGCUACAAAACUUAGAGCUUGGUGAUGGCUCAGGCACAAAAGAGCUGGCUGUACUUGAGGCUGACUUCCAUUCUACCUGUGACUAUUACAUUCAAGGUAGUGAACGCUUGAAGCCUCUGGCAUCCUGAUCCCAUGAUUACUGCAGAGAAAAGAGAUGAGAAAACUGAGUCGUAGGGAGGGCACAGCCAACAGGAAAGAAGAGUCAUUAGGAAUAUGUGCUGCACUCUAAUUCCAGAACUGUAAUCAACUGGCCUUUUGAUUUGAGUGAUGUCUAAGGAGCAUGAAGAGUCAUGAAGCAGAGACCUGGCCAUUCCACAGGGGGCAGUCAAAAGAAAAGCCCUGAAACAUCACUCUUUGGUCCAACUAGAAAGGAGUGUGACUGUUAAUAAGGCGCAGGAGUAAGUUGUUAGUCAAAUGGUGUUGGCCAAGAAUCUUUUAGAAUCCCUGUUUUGCAUAUAUUCUGUUGGAUCAAUUUUAUUUCAGAAAAUAAUCAAUCUGUCUUUGAGCCCUGGGUCAGAGGCCAGGGAUUUCAUAAUCCCUGUGGAAAUAAACUCUUUGACAGUUUACAUGUGUGCCUUUUGUCCUCUGUCCUUACCUAUCACAAUCACAUAUUUGGGAGCUUAAUGUAUGCAAAGAAGGGAUGUCUGUGG